Non-coding RNA from Erinaceus europaeus (western European hedgehog), 141 nucleotides. The record is from Rfam. NCBI's taxonomy places the organism in Eukaryota, Metazoa, Chordata, Mammalia, Eulipotyphla, Erinaceidae.
AGCUUUGUACAGUGGAAGUAUUAUAGCCAGAUAGGUUUAUCUGAGGCACAAUUAUUGCUGGUUGAAAAACAAAAUAGAAUGUUCCGUCUUUUAUUUAUUAUGUCUUCAUAAUUCUAUUCAUGUUGUGCAUCCACAGCUGGA